UCAAACUUGGUCAUUUAGAGGAAGUAAAAGUCGUAACAAGGUUUCCGUAGGUGAACCUGCGGAAGGAUCAUUACAAAUCAGAGUGUUGGUGAGUGGGGGGGGAUAGGUUGAGGGAGGAUGGAUGGGGUAAAACCCGUUUGUCACGCUUAUCUAUUACCCACCCACCCCAUCACGACAUAUGCACGGGGCCGCAAGGCUCUGAUGUUUACGCUUGUUUGUUUGACAUAAUUUAUUACCGUUAUAAUAUUGACAACUUUUAACAAUGGAUCUCUUGGCUCUUGCAUCGAUGAAGAACGCAGC
This 300-nucleotide unclassified non-coding RNA is filed under the name uncultured fungus. RNAcentral's name for it is "partial contains small subunit ribosomal RNA, internal transcribed spacer 1, and 5.8S ribosomal RNA". The stretch from base 1 to 73 matches the Rfam family "Eukaryotic small subunit ribosomal RNA", at positions 1759 to 1831 of the family's 1831-position model. The record is from RNAcentral. Lineage: Eukaryota; Fungi.